Long non-coding RNA from Homo sapiens (human), 1882 nucleotides. RefSeq lists it as uncharacterized. NCBI's taxonomy places the organism in Eukaryota, Metazoa, Chordata, Mammalia, Primates, Hominidae. The record is from RefSeq and is a predicted model, not a curated record. The transcript is spliced from 3 exons.
GCCCGCGCCUCUCCCUCCACACGUCCCGGGAAGCUGAGGGAGCCGCCUCCGGCCUUGGCCAGCCCAGAAAGGGGCUCCCACAGUGCAGCCGGGGGCUGAAGGACUCUUCGAGCGCGGCCAGAGUGGGCGCCGAGACCGAGGAGGCGCCAAGAGCGAGCCAGGGCUGCGACCACAGCCAGCACGCUGUCACCUCUCAGCACCAUCCCCCAUCAUACUGUCCUCACCAUAAGCUACCAGGGGAUCUUCCUUCGCCCUUCACUGUGAGAACCUGCUGAGGUCCCUGAAAAUACAGUCCGUGAAAGUGCAGGGGCCACCUGAGACUGUGAUUCCCAGGAGUUUCUCAUUCAAGUCCAUACUCAGCCUCCAACAAAAUUUAUCAAAUUUACUGUGUAAAGGUUCUGUCUACUUUAUGGCUUGAGUACCUUCUGCUUCAGCUUACAGAAAUGAUGCCAUAGAAAAACAAGCACAUUCAAGAUAUGGGACAUGCUGUGUGUCUACCAUUCUAGACUUCUCCAAAUUGCAGUGCCAUAAAUGAGGAUGGGGAUAUUCUAAAUUUUGAAACAAGGACUAAAGAGACAUAACCAAAUGCAACGGGUAAACCUUGACUGGAUCUUGAAUUAAAAAGUCAUUUUAAAGACAACUGGUGAAAUUUUAAAUUUAAGUAUUAGCUGAUACUAUGGAAUUAUUGCUAAUGUACAUGUGGUUAUAUAGGAUAGUGUCCUUAUCCUUUGGAAACACAUAUUGAAAUAUUAGGGUUGAAAUAUUAAUACAUGAUGUCUGAAGCUUACUUUCAAAUGCUUUCAAUGAAAAUAUUUGGUCAAACACUAUUCUAGAUGUUUCUGUGAAAGUAGUUUUUGAUGAGAUUAACAUUUAAACCACUAUACGAAUGUUAAAUUUCUCUAUAUAUGUUUCCAUAGUUAUCUAUGUUUCUCUCUCUCUCCAUAGAUAUGAGAUAGAUAAAUAUAAGUUUUGUUUCUCUGGGGAACUCUAAUACAAUACCCUUCUUUCAACUUUUCAGUAUGUUUGAAAUUUUUUCUAAUGAAAAGUUAGGGAAAAAAUUUAAUUCAGAUAAUUUUUUAAAAACAUUCAGGAGUUUUUAAAAACAUUUUCCUGAUCUAGCCAAUGCUGACAUUCAGGAGUUAAGUGCGUUAUUUUGUAGCUCAUAGCUAUUCUUCUAGGAGAGAAAAUUAGUCUUAAUGGAGAAUAGUCUGAGGAGCCUAGCCAACUAAAAAUAAGCAUCACCUGUUAGUUUGCAAAUAUUUUUGAGAAUUUAUUGUCUUAGUGGCUAUGCUCAGUCCUGGGAAAAGAGUGGUAAGCCACCCAGAAGUAGUCCUUUCUAACUUCUUCCUGUGUCACUGUGUGUCCCAUACUUGGCAAGCCAAGUUCAUUUGGGUCAAAGUAGAACACAUCUAACUAGUUCUUGAUUUUAAGAGAAUCUACAGGUUUUCUGAUCAGGGAGCCUGUAUUGAUGAUAUAGCCACUUCGGUGAAAGCCAACAGUGACAGCUUCAUAUUUCAAAAGUCAGACAACUCCAGUGAACAUGAUAUAAACUCUUUUCUUCCUCUGUUUGUUCCUCUGUGUGGUGUUCCUCACACCAACACAGAACACAUUUAGAAAGCUUAUUUAAAAACAUGUCAAGUUCUCAGAGAGAGAAGAAGAAUGGUUACCAGAGGCUGGGAAGGGAAAUGGAGGUGGGGUGGGGGAGUGGGGAUGGGGAUGGUUAAUGAGUACAAAAAAACUAGUUGGAAAGAAUUAAUAAGAGUUACUAUUUGAUAGCACAACAGGGUGACUAUAGUCAAUAAUAAUUGUACAUUUUAAAUAACAAAAAGCACAUGAUUGGAUUGUUUGUAACACAAAGAAUAAAUGCUUGAGGGGAUGGGUA